This 305-nucleotide ribosomal RNA is filed under the name uncultured bacterium. RNAcentral's name for it is "bacterial SSU rRNA". It matches the Rfam family "Bacterial small subunit ribosomal RNA", at positions 334 to 656 of the family's 1533-position model. The record is from RNAcentral.
UGCACCUACGGGAGGCAGCAGUCGAGAAUCAUUCACAAUGGGGGAAACCCUGAUGCAGCGACGCCGCGUGGGUGAAGAAGCGCCUCGGCGCGUAAAGCCCUGUCAGCAGGGAAGAAAAUGACGGUACCUGAAGAAGAAGCCCCGGCUAACUACGUGCCAGCAGCCGCGGUAAUACGUAGGGGGCAAGCGUUAUCCGGAUUUACUGGGUGUAAAGGGGGCGCAGACGGCGAUGCAAGCCAGGAGUGAAAGCCCGGGGCCCAACCCCGGGACUGCUCUUGGAACUGCGUGGCUGGAGUGCAGGAGGG